RNAcentral lists this unclassified non-coding RNA (1891 nucleotides) under Hevea brasiliensis (rubber tree). The record is from RNAcentral. Lineage: Eukaryota; Viridiplantae; Streptophyta; Magnoliopsida; Malpighiales; Euphorbiaceae.
GCAAUGUCGAUUUCUUGUGCUUCUAUCUUCACUCCUUUCUCUCACCCGCGCUUCUUUCCUUCGCGCUUCCACCGUUGCGCUUUCUUCAGCGUUGCUUCCCUCCAAAAGCCUAUCAAUCUAUGGGAAACCACUAACUCUGCCAUGGCUGCAAAUAUCAUUCCUCCUAUGGCGGGGAACCUGUCUUCUUUGAAUAGAGAGGCCAUGGUGCCACCUUACAAUGUCCUAAUCACUGGCUCAACAAAGGCUUGACAGUGUAAGAGUGGCUGUGGAGAAGCUGCAUAGAGAGUUGCAGAGGGAAUGUGCUUCUGAGAACUAGUUGGAGAACUAUUUCUUAUUAGCAUUGGAAUUGUAUAGGGACAAUUGAGGGAAAAUCAAAAUAGGUGCAAGCUCAUUUGCCGCUAUGAAGAAGUGACUUGUUAUAAAAGGGAAGAGGAAGACUGAAAAGGACAAAGAGUAAAAAGUAAGAAGGACCUCAUUGUAACUUAACUGAAAAUAUUGUGCUGGAUCAAACUUAUUAUGACUGGUAAAGAAUGUUGAGAAGUUCCAUCUUUCACGAUCUUUAAUACUUUAGUUUCUAACUCAUUGGGUCUUUAUGUCUAUCUUUAGAUGAAGGUCAGAAAUAGGAAAUUCCGUAUGCACUAAUUAAAAAUGUUUAAUGUCUUCAAUCUCUCUUUUUCUUCAACUGGAUGGUCACUUAUGUCAAAUAUGAUUUAUUCGUUGCUCAUUAUUCAGGAAUAGGGUAUGCACUAGCUAAAGAGUUUCUAAAGGCAGGUGACAAUGUCUUGGUUUGCUCAAGAUCAGGUAAGAUCUUACUUUCUGUACCUUUAUUGAAGUUGUGUACCAAAAGCUUUGAGGUCAAAGUCAGUGCAAAGUACUCGCUAUUAACUUAAUUUGCUUAUCUGAAUUAACUCCAACAUCAGGGUGUUCAAGCUCUUUGGUUUUGAAUAUGUUCAAUUAAUAGUUUAUUGUAAUUUUAAAUGGUGAUAAGUGCAAGAAUAGUCACUUGGCAUGCAUUUUAUGAAUAGUGAGGUCUACACUUUCUGCUGAAUGUGCUUUGUAAAUUUUCAACUUUUUAUAGUGCAUGUAUGAGCGUGUCUAGCCUGCAUGUGUGUUCUACUCAAGGAAAAGGUUAACACACAUUUCAUGUCCACCUAUGCUAAUUUCUUUUUACAAUCUCAAUAGAUAGUCAUUUGUAUUUGUAUUUCAUAUUUUAUGAUGAUCAUGACCGUGAGGUUUUAUGCCUUUUGACUUCAUGUUAGGGACCAAAAAUUAUGCCUAUUGUUGACCUCUAGUAAUCUGAUUUUGGGAUACCUAUGGGCUAAUUUCAUAAGCCAAUAAAUUCAAACUUAUUGAGUUUAAUUUCAAUUCUUUGGCUAAUGGGCAUAGAAUUUUGACUCUGUGUUCACAUACACUGGAUGUAUAAUUGUGUUGACAAGCAGGUUUUAAAUAAUGGUUGAUACAUAAUGUAUCGGCUCUUACAUAUCAGGAUUUUUACCUUGCAAUGUGAUAAUCUCCAUUACAAUCAUGUGAAUGAAAUGGUGCCAAAUCAGCCAAAAUGAAGUUAAUGGCCUGUUUAUCAUUUUGACAUAACGGCCAGGCAGAUGCGGAAGAGGACAAGGGGAUGAAGAAGAAAAAGAGAGAGGAGGAAGGGGAGAGAGAGAGAGAGGAGGGUGGCAUGGAGCGUGUACUUGGAUAGCAAGUGAGAGUAGCACCAUUGAAUUUUGUAUUGCUUUUAAGAGGAGAAAAUAGAAUGUUAUGUUGCUUCUUCAUCUGGUUUUUGGGACCAAAUUUAUAAAUAAAUUUUUUCAUCUCUUUAGAGCCUAAGCAUAGUUGGCUUUCUUUUUGGAUUGUUAUUUUUAUCCUUGAAAUAUAAAUAAAGUUAAUAGUUUUU